AAAAAAACGAUAUUUAGCUUUCAUGUGGUUUAAUUUUAUUUUCUAGUCUAGAAAGGGACUCUUGGAGACAAAGUAGUCUAUCAAAUUGUGUACCAAACGUAUUCUUUUCUAGUUUUCAUCAAUGAAAAUGAGUACUUAAAUUCAAUAACUUGAUCUCCCAAAUUAAACAUUUUGAAAUUCGCCCGCGCUUGUUAAUGGGCCAGAUCAGUCGUCUCGAUAAAAACUCGUUUGCUUCAAACAAACAAACAACAUCAACAAAAAAAAAAACGAUGAUAAUGGGCUAACAAUAAUGGGACGGAGGGAGUAUAACAUAAGGUUAGUUAUCGCCUUCGGAUCCUCCUUCGUCUCCUUCAGUGCAUCAGCCAACCCUUGUUGAAUCAACAUUACAUAGCAUCAGGAGCGGAUCUAUGCAAGCCCAAUAUUUUCUCCUAUAUAUAUUCCUAACAUCUCUAUAAUCCAGCCCAUAGCCCAGCCCAAACCAAAAAAAAUAAACUUCCCAACAUAUAGAAUUAAG
Molecule: long non-coding RNA, 514 nt
Filed under: Salvia miltiorrhiza (redroot sage)
Lineage: Eukaryota; Viridiplantae; Streptophyta; Magnoliopsida; Lamiales; Lamiaceae
Description: long non-coding RNA (SMIL_LNC002781)
Source: RNAcentral